Molecule: long non-coding RNA, 1319 nt
Filed under: Actinidia chinensis (golden kiwifruit)
Lineage: Eukaryota; Viridiplantae; Streptophyta; Magnoliopsida; Ericales; Actinidiaceae
Description: long non-coding RNA (ACHI_LNC000828)
Source: RNAcentral
UGGAUCUCUGUAUGAUGUAUGUCUCCAGUUUUUUUUCUUUUGAUUUUUAUAUCCCGAUCUGCUUUUAGUUGAUAAUAUGUUUGACCUUUAACUACCUAUAUUCUGCUACCUGAUUCCAUGUAUGCUUUGCUUAUUGUUUAUUGAAUGUGUAUUACGUGUUGGAAAAUGUCAUUUGGUGUCAAUGGUGGUUGUCACGUCUUGCUCUUUUCUUGUUAAGUAUAUUUCCUACUGCGUUUUCAUUUAGCUCCUUCACUUUCCAUUCUUGUGCAGGCAUGUUCUAUUUUGUAGGAUUCUGCUGCUCUGUCCGGUCACGCUUACCAAACCCUUACAAGUGAAGUGAUUAGUCAUACAUUAAGAAGUAAUGAAGUUUUGUUAAAUAAAUACAUUAAGCAAUGUAGUGUAUUGGUUUCUCGAAUACAAAACAGUGAGUCAUUCUGUAUUCACUGCUAAGGAAAAUAAACAUGAGCGGGGCUGGGUUGAUGUAACAUAAUUUUGUCUGUGAACCGCCAUUUUUUUGAUGUGGAAUAAAAGGGGAAUCAAGAAUUAUAAGUUAUUUGGGUUCAGCAAUUAGGUUACUUAAUCCGAUAAAUUGAGGUACAGUCAGCCGGGAUACGUGGGUCUGCUGCACUAGUAGCUAUUGUCAGGGUUUUAUGAUGUUGUUUGGUUAUGCUUACGCCUUACCUUGGUCGUUCGCGAUACUUUUUUGGUUGGCCAUCUAUUUGCACUAAAAAAAAUCGAAAAUGCAGAUGGUUCCUAAUGUGUUCGUUCUAGAACUUAAGGAUGCAUGUAUCCCUCAAACCUCUCAUUUUUUCUAAAGCCUAUCACAGCAUUUGUCAUAAAUGUCAUUCAUUCCGGGGGUUUUAUUUAUCUAUUUCGUCUGUUUAGUAUGAAAUUGUGAUUGGUUUAUUUUUUUUCUAUGAGGUAUUUUUAAUGAUAUUGCUUGAUGCUCUUUCCUUAAUACUUAUUGUUUUGAUUUUCUCUUUGCUCUCGUCCCUCUCUCUCACACACACACACACAGUUUUUGAUCUUCGUUCUAAUUAUAUGAUUUUUUUACUUCUGCCCCAACUCCGGGAUGCAUAGGCAGCCACAGCAUGUCAUGACUUUCUUGCUGGUUGAGAUGGGAACAAGUGGAUGGAUCACUUGAUGGACAUCAAAGAUUAGUUGUGAGGGCAUCCUGAGGAUAUAUGUCAGUAAGUUCCAUCUGUGUGAUUACUUGAUAUUAAAAACAAUAGCGACGAUAAUUGCCAAAUGUAGUUGUGAAUUAUGAAAAGUGAGCUCAUUUCUCACUAGCUUGGCUUCUAACCAAAGUAAGGCUAAAA